Molecule: ribosomal RNA, 1114 nt
Filed under: Salmonella enterica subsp. enterica serovar Cerro
Lineage: Bacteria; Pseudomonadati; Pseudomonadota; Gammaproteobacteria; Enterobacterales; Enterobacteriaceae
Description: bacterial SSU rRNA
Rfam family: Bacterial small subunit ribosomal RNA
Source: RNAcentral
AAAUUGAAGAGUUUGAUCAUGGCUCAGAUUGAACGCUGGCGGCAGGCCUAACACAUGCAAGUCGAACGGUAACAGAAAGCAGCUUGCUGCUUCGCUGACGAGUGGCGGACGGGUGAGUAAUGUCUGGGAAACUGCCUGAUGGAGGGGGAUAACUACUGGAAACGGUGGCUAAUACCGCAUAACGUCGCAAGACCAAAGAGGGGGACCUUCGGGCCUCUUGCCAUCAGAUGUGCCCAGAUGGGAUUAGCUAGUUGGUGAGGUAACGGCUCACCAAGGCGACGAUCCCUAGCUGGUCUGAGAGGAUGACCAGCCACACUGGAACUGAGACACGGUCCAGACUCCUACGGGAGGCAGCAGUGGGGAAUAUUGCACAAUGGGCGCAAGCCUGAUGCAGCCAUGCCGCGUGUAUGAAGAAGGCCUUCGGGUUGUAAAGUACUUUCAGCGGGGAGGAAGGUGUUGUGGUUAAUAACCGCAGCAAUUGACGUUACCCGCAGAAGAAGCACCGGCUAACUCCGUGCCAGCAGCCGCGGUAAUACGGAGGGUGCAAGCGUUAAUCGGAAUUACUGGGCGUAAAGCGCACGCAGGCGGUCUGUCAAGUCGGAUGUGAAAUCCCCGGGCUCAACCUGGGAACUGCAUUCGAAACUGGCAGGCUUGAGUCUUGUAGAGGGGGGUAGAAUUCCAGGUGUAGCGGUGAAAUGCGUAGAGAUCUGGAGGAAUACCGGUGGCGAAGGCGGCCCCCUGGACAAAGACUGACGCUCAGGUGCGAAAGCGUGGGGAGCAAACAGGAUUAGAUACCCUGGUAGUCCACGCCGUAAACGAUGUCUACUUGGAGGUUGUGCCCUUGAGGCGUGGCUUCCGGAGCUAACGCGUUAAGUAGACCGCCUGGGGAGUACGGCCGCAAGGUUAAAACUCAAAUGAAUUGACGGGGGCCCGCACAAGCGGUGGAGCAUGUGGUUUAAUUCGAUGCAACGCGAAGAACCUUACCUGGUCUUGACAUCCACGGAAGUUUUCAGAGAUGAGAAUGUGCCUUCGGGAACCGUGAGACAGGUGCUGCAUGGCUGUCGUCAGCUCGUGUUGUGAAAUGUUGGGUUAAGUCCCGCAACGAGCGCAACCC